UAAUUUUCAUUCAAUUCGUCAAACGAAAACGAAAACAUCCCGACGCCACAAACUUGUCUCUGUUUUCGACCUCCACCUCUGCUCCCAUCGCCACCCAACCCCAGCCGCCGCCCCCAACCCCGGCGACCCCUCCGCUCGCCUUCUCUCCAUGGCCGCGGAUCCACUCCAGCAGCGCCCCUCCCUCCUCGCGCUGGAAACCCUAGCCAGCCAUGGCGACCCACGGCGACCCCCAGGUAGGAGAUGCAGCAGUCCAUCACCAGCGGCAACACCACCAUGGCGACCAGUACCGGCCUGCCUUCCUCCUCCUCCUCGCGCCGGAAGUUCAUGGCGGCGGCCAGAUCCGCGUCGGUACAGGACGCCCUCCUCUUCAAGGUCAAAGCGCAAAGCUUGUGGUCUCCUGCAGCUCCGACCCGUCCCUGCCGCUGCUACCACUCCUAUGCUCCAUGUGUUUAUCCCGCCAAGGAACACGGACGCCGCCAGGGUGGGGUGGCUGCUGUUGUGCCGAGCAGCAGAGGUCGCUCAUCUCCGUGCACCGGCAACGGUGUCUUGCAGUGGAGGGUGGUUCGGAGGGCACCAGGAGAGAGAUCGUAUCAGUUGUGCUCUGGAGCUUCUCCUCUUCACAGAAGUGCACGCACGCGGGGGUCUGCACACAUUAGAAACAGCCAGACUCUGUUCUUGUCCUCUGUAUUCGGCGUCGUCGGUUAGGAAACAGUAGGUCAAAGUGCAAAGCUUGUGGUCUCCUGCAGCUCCGACCCGUCCUUGCCGCUGCUACCACUGCUCUGCUCCAUGUGUUUAUCCCGCCAAGGAGCGCAGACGCCGCCAGGGUGGGGUGGCUGCUGUUGCGCCGACGCAGCAGAGGACGCUCAUCUCUGUGCGCUCUCUUCUUUUAACUCAGGGGAAAUGCGAUCGGGCGGCGCUAAGCAAAAGAAAUGGAACUAUAAUUAAACAAUUAAGUUAAGUCUUGUCCUGUCUUUGAUGGCUUCUGAUUUUUCUUCUUGUAAUCAUCGCCCAGAUAUUAUUUACUCCCAAGAUGGAGGCCUUGGUGUUAGGACCAUACGGCUGUUAAUCUCUCUCUUUUAACUGCAGCAGAGCAUGGAGAAUUGUCCCCCAACAAGAUAUAACAGCAGUAAAAAAUUUGAAGGCCAACUAUUUCCCUGACACUUCCUUCUGGAGAUGCAAUGCAGCAUGGAGAAUUGUCUUCAAACAAGACACCACAACAAUAAAAAAGUUGAAGGCUAACUAUUUCCCAGACACUUCCUUCUGCAUAUGAAGGCUAACUAUUUCCCAGACACUUCCUUCUGCAUAUGCAAUGGAAGUAGUUGCAGCAAUUCAGUUUCAUUGUUUAGACAAUGGCAUGCUGUAUAAAUAUCACAUGGUUGCAACUGUUGCUGCAGUCCAAGAGAAGCAAAACAGAUUCAUAUCAGUGAGUAGAAUGCAUAAAGUGCCAAAAUAGCACUGUCAGUUGUAUCUUGUGAGAAAAAAGGGGCACAAUUAUCGCAGAUUCAAACAGGAAAUUAUGUGCAUUGGAACCAAAACUUUGCAUAAGAUUCGAUCCUCAAUGGCUUCUUGCAGGAACGACGUUUAGUCCUCCUGUUAUCACGAUUAUCCCACCGCUCUCCAGCAGCUCCGACCCCUAGUGCUGGCUGACGCCAUGGAAGUGGCCCGAGUACAAACUCAGACCUGAGCUCUUGUUGGCGCGGCCUGCAGCUCUCUAGUGACGGUGGUGUGCCGCCCUGCUUACGGCACCGACGAGACAGCCAGGUUUUUGCCAUGUAACCUCGGCGUCGACUCACACGACCGCCUUCUCGGCUAUCACUACUCAGGCCUGACUGGUUGGAAUUAAGUACUCCAAUGCUCUUAUAUUAUGGGACGGGGGGAGUACAUCUGGGUUUUUCAAGAAUGGAAGUCCCUCACUUUGGCCAUUAUGGAACAUUUUGUUGCCAACUUGAUGGUAGCAAAAAUUCUCUAUCUUGUAUAUUUUGUUUCUGGAUUUUGUAUGUUAUACUAGUUCAUGUGUUGUCAUCAUACUUCUUUCUCUGUUUUACCAUUAUGUUAAUUAGAAAGGUUCCUCAUACAAAGAAAAUAUGUAGUCAGUUUAAAUAUGGUCAAAAGGGAGCUUGGGCCUAUUGUAGUUUAAAUUACUUAUUGGCUGGUUAGAAGAAAAAUCUCUCUGUGCCUA
RNA transcript from Triticum dicoccoides, 2179 nucleotides. RefSeq lists it as uncharacterized. The record is from RefSeq and is a predicted model, not a curated record. NCBI's taxonomy places the organism in Eukaryota, Viridiplantae, Streptophyta, Magnoliopsida, Poales, Poaceae. The transcript is spliced from 12 exons.